RNAcentral lists this unclassified non-coding RNA (376 nucleotides) under uncultured Eubacteriales bacterium. Its description in RNAcentral is "contains 16S-23S intergenic spacer region". The record is from RNAcentral. Lineage: Bacteria; Bacillati; Bacillota; Clostridia; Eubacteriales.
UCCGAGUUAUCCCCGGCAGUCUCACUAGAGUGCCCAUCCGAAAUGCUGGCAACUAAUGACAAGGGUUGCGCUCGUUGCGGGACUUAACCCAACAUCUCACGACACGAGCUGACGACAACCAUGCACCACCUGUCACCUCUGCUCCGAAGAGAAUACCCCGUUACGGGUACGUCAGAGGGAUGUCAAGUCCUGGUAAGGUUCUUCGCGUUGCUUCGAAUUAAACCACAUGCUCCGCUGCUUGUGCGGGUCCCCGUCAAUUCCUUUGAGUUUCACACUUGCGUGCGUACUCCCCAGGCGGAGCACUUAAUGCGUUAGCUGCGGCACCGAAGUCUCGCGACCCCGACACCUAGUGCUCAUCGUUUACGGCGUGGACUAC